RNAcentral lists this ribosomal RNA (497 nucleotides) under uncultured bacterium. RNAcentral describes it as "partial 16S ribosomal RNA". It matches the Rfam family "Bacterial small subunit ribosomal RNA", at positions 29 to 523 of the family's 1533-position model. The record is from RNAcentral.
AUUGAACGCUGGCGGCAUGCCUUACACAUGCAAGUCGAACGGUAACGCGGGGCAACCUGGCGACGAGUGGCGAACGGGUGAGUAAUGCAUCGGAACGUGCCCAGUAGUGGGGGAUAGCCCGGCGAAAGCCGGAUUAAUACCGCAUACGACCUACGGGUGAAAGGGGGGGAUCGCAAGACCUCUCGCUAUUGGAGCGGCCGAUGUCAGAUUAGGUAGUUGGUGGGGUAAAGGCCUACCAAGCCGACGAUCUGUAGCUGGUCUGAGAGGACGACCAGCCACACUGGGACUGAGACACGGCCCAGACUCCUACGGGAGGCAGCAGUGGGGAAUUUUGGACAAUGGGCGCAAGCCUGAUCCAGCCAUGCCGCGUGCGGGAAGAAGGCCUUCGGGUUGUAAACCGCUUUUGUCAGGGAAGAAAUCUUCUGGUUAAUACCUCGGGAGGAUGACGGUACCUGAAGAAUAAGCACCGGCUAACUACGUGCCAGCCGCCGCAGUAA